CCGUAACCAGUAGUUAAAAACUAGUCUGUGUUUUUACUGCAAUUAUGAUUUAUUUACAAUAAUUAUGAUAGUUUGUCAUGAAAUUUUCAAUGUUGAGUCAACAAUUACUAUAAUUGGUUAAUUAAAAAAUUUACAAUGACAAGAUAAUACUGGGUUAUCUACCGUAGACCAACAUUUAAAUUCCGUCUUACAGACAUCAGAAACAUUAGUAUAAUCAAAAACUGUUUAUAUCCUAAAUUGAAUUUUGCUAAUUGUUUCUAUUAUGUAAUAAUAGACCGUAUUUUUCAGUCGUUAGGCGAUAAUUGGCUUUCUCAAGUUUUACUGUCUGCAAUCUUAGAAUUCAUUUUUUAUUUUCAGUUCCGGAAGGUUAAAAUAAAAUCAAUUUAGUAAAAAACUUUCGCGCUUGUAGCAUUACCCCACUACUUUCGCCACAUGAUGGACACACAGCUGCAACCGGCCAUUGCAUCUACGCAUACGCAAAAAACUAGCUUGUCUCACCAUUUCUGAAGGAAGCACGUGGGGUCGUAACGUGUGUGCUGUGAUGCGACAAACAGAUGGAUAGAAGUACUGCCCGACGGAAACAUGUUCGCCAUCCUCCUUGAUGUUGAUAAUGUCAUACUCGGCGUAAAUACGGUCUCCAUUGUCAUCAAAGGCUACUCUGCCGGUAGCUCCAUCAAUCAACACUUGCUCCCGGAUGAAUCUAAUUGUUCGAAGAAAGUAAUUAAAUGAAGCUUAAAUUAGAAUUAACAAUGGUAUAAUAAAGAUAAACCGUACUCGAA
Molecule: long non-coding RNA, 779 nt
Organism: Megachile rotundata (alfalfa leafcutting bee)
Lineage: Eukaryota; Metazoa; Arthropoda; Insecta; Hymenoptera; Megachilidae
Source: RefSeq, a predicted model, not a curated record